This is a long non-coding RNA of Neofelis nebulosa (Clouded leopard), 8779 nucleotides long. RefSeq lists it as uncharacterized. NCBI's taxonomy places the organism in Eukaryota, Metazoa, Chordata, Mammalia, Carnivora, Felidae. The record is from RefSeq and is a predicted model, not a curated record. The transcript is spliced from 2 exons.
UUGCUUUGCAUAACACCCUCUAGUUCCAUCCACGUAGUUGCAAAUGGCAAGAUUUCAUUCUGAUGGCUGAGUAAUACUCCAUUGUAUAUACAGACCACAUCUGCUUUAUCCAUUCAUCCAUCGAUGGACCAUUUGGGCUCUUUCCACACUUUGGCUAUUGUUGAUAGUGCUGCUAUAAACAUGGGGGUGCAUGUGUCCCUUCAAAACAGCACACCUGUAUCCCGUGGAUAAAUGCCGACUAGUGCAAUUGUUGAGUCGUAGGGUAGUUCUAUUUUUAGUUUUUUGAGGAACCUCCAUACUGUUUUCCAGAGUGGCUGCACCAGCUUGCAUUCCCAAGAUCUAAUUAAGUUUUUAAAAGGGAUUAAUGAAUUUUUCUUUUUUUCUCAAGUUAGUUAACAUAUAAUGUGGUUUUGGGUUCAGAAGAACCCAGUGAUUCAUCUCUUACAUAUGACAACCCAGGGCUCAUCCCAAAAAGUGCCCUCCUUAAUGCCCAUCACCCAUUUAACCCAUCUCCCCUCCCACUCACCCCCCAAACGACCCUCAGCUUGUUCUCGGUUUUUUAGAGCCUCUUAUGGUUUUCCUCCCUCUCUGUUUUUAUCUUAUUUUUUCUUCCCUUCCCCUAUGUUAAUCUGUUAAGUUUUUCAAAUUCCACAUAAAAGCGAUUAAUAAAUUUUAAUAUCAAAAGUACAGUGGUAUAAAAUUAGAAUUGGCUGUUAAUAGGACAAAGUUCUGGGAUGCCUGGGUGGCUGGGUUGGGCAUCCAACUCUUGAUUUCAGCUCUGGUCAUGGUCUUGUUAUGGAACCAGGCUGGAACACUGGUGGAAAAACCAAGCGGCACUCGGAGACCUUGGUGGAUCGGAGAUUUAUUUAACACCGGCGGGCUCAGAGGAGACUUUCUCCAAAGGUCUAGGCGCCAAAUGUAAGUGGGGAGGAUAAUGUAUAGUCAUCAGCUUCCAUAUCUGUGGGGGUUUUCCUGUGCACAGCAAACAAAGGAAGAAGAACCCGGAGGAGGGGUCUCUAAGCUAGAGACCAGAGUCUGUUUUAGCCCCAUCGGUCAUCUUUGGUGCAAUACUUUAUUCACUUCUCCAACGUCCCCCCCUUUGAUGCCUUUUAAAAAACUUUUAGUAGGCAUCACCUUUCAGUUUUAUAGGUUGGUACUCUUGGAAGGCUAAGCCACAUGCAGUAGUUUGGCGAGAAACAGUGUUUUCAAUAAAAUGUACCAUGGCAUUCAGUAUACAGGGGCCAAUGGAUACAAGUAAAAUUAUGGAGAGGAGGGUCCCUGCCAGGGCAGGAAGCCAGGAUGCCCAAUCCAUGAGAUCCCAUCCUUUCCAUUGAUUGAUACUUUCCUGUUGUCUACGUUGAAUUCUUUGAGUUCCUUAACCUUAGCUGUAACUAUUCCUGACUGGUUUACAAAAUAGCAACAUUCCCCCCCCAGAAAGAUGCAUGUCCCUCCUUUUUCUGAAGUGAGGAGGUUGAGGGCUUGCCUAUUUUGGAGGGUCACUGCCGCCAGAGAGUUUAUUUGGCUUUGUAAGUUUACCAGAGAAUCUGCCACCCGUUCCAUGUCCUCAUUUAUCUCUCGAGAUAGUCUAUGGUACAGUCCUUCGGAUGAACCUAUGCCCUCUAUUCUGGCUCCUAUUCUUGUAGCAAUUCCUGCUCCUAUCAGAACGGGUACCAGGAUUGCCCAUUUAGUCCGGGACUUGGGCCUAAAGGCUGUUAGGAGCUGAUCUUCCGUGUACACGGAUAUCUCUGGGGUUAGGAAGACGGAAUAACAUAUCUGAGUCCAGUUGGCCUCUAAGCACCAGUAGGCCGAACUAGAACACAGAUAGAACACCCCAGGGGUUGAACACAGGGUUGCAUUCCUCUCUAAGGUUAUAUUUCUUCUGCAUAGAGAGGUACUGUUCAUACCUUCAGGGACUGUACAGAUUAGAUUGUCGGCAUUUAUGAGACGGACCCCAGUGGCCAGGGGUCCAAUUAAGACAGAGGUGUUGGUUUUGAGAUUUUCAGGAGCUUCCCAGGUCAAAGGGAUGGGAGUGGCUAGGUAAGCCCUCCGGCCGAGGGGCUAGCACAUCCAGCAGGUUUGGGUGUGAUUAUCUAUUUUACGGAGGACUUGGAGAGUAGCGUUGGAGUGGGGAAUUGGUAAGCAUCUGACUGAGGGCUGAAAGGUCCAAACCUUGGUAGGCUGCCGGGGGAGUGGUCGCCUUUAUGGCUUGUAUUACCCUAUCCUGGGUAUCCUUUAUAACUCUUUGAAGGGCCCUGUCUUGCACCCCUCCCCCAUCUGAGAUCCCCCAUUGAGGAAGGUAAGUGUAGCAAGCUGGCUUCCCUCUCUGGAGGUCCUUGUUGUGACAUGGGUUCCUGACAUCUUGGGUUAUCUCUACGGUCCGAUACUUAGUCCUUGGGGGCACCAGGUGACUGACAGAGAGUGGGUAUUUUUCCCUUGUAGCAAUCUUCGUGGAGGGAGGUGAAGGCACUGAGCACCCUUGACCCCCUUAUUGUCAUAUAGCAAUCCUGGGGGCAAAGUGGGUAAGCGGCAGUUGUGAGGGUGAGAGAGGUUAUCAUAAUAUACAGGCAAUACUUAAUGGCCCUCCCAUCCAGAGGAGGUGUGUGAGACCCAGCAUGCAUCUUUUGUCCCAUGUCCAGCUUGUUGGUGCAGUCUCUGUCAGCCCCACAGUAAGAAGUAAGAUCAGGGCUAUGACACCAAUAAGGGGCCAGGGCUGGCAGAGUUGCAUCCAGACCCCUGGGCUAGAUUCAUGAGUUGAUUCCUCAAGCUUCUGCCGUGCACAGGCCAGCCAGCUUCCGGGGUUUGGCUGGAGCAGGGCUGGAGGUCUCAGGGGCAGUUUCCCUUUUGAGGGUCAGUUUAAGUGGGUUGACUGGAUCUGGAUCACUUCGCCAGGUUGUGGGUUCUUCUGAGUUGGCCUUCUUAACUCUGGAGUGAUGGACCCAUGGGGUGAUACCUGAAACUUUAAGGGCUGUAGGAGUUGUUAGAAUAACAGUAUGAGGCCCAGUCCACCGUUGUCUAAGAGGUUCCCUCUUCCAAUCUUUGACCCACACAGAGUCUCCCGGCUGAAAGGGGUGAACGGGGGUCCCUAAGGAAAUUGGGGCCCUCUCUAUGGUAUAUUUGUAACUUAUUUAGGACUACCCCCAAGGUCCGGAGCUGUUCUCUUAUUCCCUUGUCUCCAAUCUGGUGUAGGUCUCCUGGGAGUUUUCCUAAACAUGGGGGGGUGGGGGUCGCCCACAUAAUAACUCAAAAGGGGAGAAUCCCAGUGGCCCAGGCAUGCAUCGGGCAUGCAGGAGGGCCAGCAGUAGUAAAUCUGGCCGUGGGAGAUUAGUCUCUUGGUGGAACUUAGGCAGGGUUUCCUUGAGGGUGCGAUUCAUCCGUUCUACUUUUCCCUGAGCUCUGGGGUCGGUAAGCAGUGUGCAGUUUCCAGGUAAUGUUGAGGGACUUUGUCAGGGUUUGUAUAAUGUCUGCCACAAACGAAGGUCAAUUAUCACUGUGUAUGGUUAAGGGUAGAUCAAACCGAAGCACAAUCUCCCGUAGAAGGGCUUUGGCCACCUCGUGACUUCAUUCCGUUCUGGUCGGGAAUGUUUCAACCCAUCCCGAAUAUGUGCAGAUUAUUACAAGAAGGUACCUGAAUCCUGUAUUUGGUUGUAUGUCGGUAAAGUCCACCUCUGAGUCUUUGAAAGGGGCGGCCCCCAUCCUUUGCGUGCCAGGCGGGGGCCGUGGGGCAGAUCAAGCAUUGUUUUCGGCACAUGUCACACAUUGUUCACUGACAGCUCGGCAUAAUGCUGGCAGCUGGCUGAUAUAGUUUUUUUUGAGGAGGGCCUCCAGUGCAGUUUUCCCUAGGUGCGUGGGUUGGUGAUAUUCCUUCACUAGGUGUUUUCCCAUAGAUGACGGGACAGAUGUGUCCGUUUGGCAUGACCCACCAUCCGUCUUUGCUUAGCGUGCCCCCUUCUGUCGAGGCCCAACUUCUUUCUUCAUUUGUGUACAGGGCGAGGAGGCUUCUCUCUGGGGCGCAAGAGUCAUAGUCUAGGUAGGAGCUUCUCCUGGGUCACUACAGGUGGCUGCUCUGGCUGUUUUGUCAGCCAGGCGAUUUUGUUGAGUUAUGGGGUUGUCUCCUGUCUGAUGUCCCUUACCGUGUAGGAUAGCUACCUUGUCUGGCAGCCAUACAGCCUCAAGAAGCUUUAGUAUUUCUUCCUUGUUUUUGGUAGUUUUCCCUGCAGCAGUAAGGAGGCCUCUUUCUUUAUAGAUGGCCCCGUGUACAUGCACAGUAGCAAAGGCAUACCGGGAAUCAGUGUAGAUGUUAACUCGUUUACCUUUGCUAAGGAUGAGGGCUCGGGCUAAGGCGUACAGUUCAGCCCGUUGUGUCGACCAUCCUUCCGGCAAGGCCUUGGCUUCCAGAACUUCGGUGGUUGUGGUUACUACAUAUCCUGCUCUUCGGCUGCCCUCUUGUAAAUAGCUGCUCCCAUUGCUGAACAGGGUGAUCUCCGGGCUUGUUAUAGCCUGGUCUUGGAGGUCCGGGCGGCUGGCAUAGACUUCAUCCACUACUUCGGAACAGUUCAUGGUCGGGUUCUCCCUCCCCCAUGGGAAGGAAGGUGGCCGGGUUUAGUGUUUUUACUGCUUUGACAGUGACCCUUGGGUUUUUGUAGAGAAGGCCUUGGUAUUGUGUCAGCCGAGAAUUGGAGAGGAGACGAUAGCCUUGGGUGCUCAUGAGGGACAUGACCAUGUGUGGGUCCCACGUGUUUGUCCCAGCGUGACUUUGUCUUCAUCCUUGAUGAGCAGCAGUGUGGCUGCCAGUGCUCUGAGGCACGGUGGCCAUCCUGCUGCCACAGGAUCAAGUUUUUUUGACAGGUAGGCCACUGGCCAUUGCCAAGGCCCCAUGCUCUGAGUGAGCACUCCAAGGGCUAUUUUGUCCUUUUCAUGUACGAAGAGGGUAAAAGGGCCUUUCUAUGUCAGGCAAACCCAGGGCUGGGGCUCAUCCCAGAGCCACUUUAUUUCUGUGAAAGUAGCCCUUGCCUCCUCAGGGGCCCCCGGUCUGGCCCUCCCAACAGGUCAUAGAGGGGCCUCGCUAUGGCUGAGAAUCCAGGAAUCCAAAUGCGACAGAACCCUGCGGCCCCUAAAAAUUCACGCAAGCCUCAUUUUGUUUGGGGCUGUGGCAGUGUGGUGAUAGCUUUCUUCCUUCCCGGUCCUAGUUCUCUUUUUCCUUUUGUGAGGAGGAAGCCUAAAUAUCAGACCUGCUGCUGACAAACCUGUGCCUUUUUUCCAAGAGGCCUGGUACCCCGAGUAGGACAGGAGCUGCAGGAGGGCCUUGGUACCUUUCAUACAGUCUUCUUGGGUGUCGCUGGCAAGGAGGAGGUCACCUACGUAUUGGAGGAGGACACACCCUGUGGUUUCCCUCGGACAGUCGGCGAGGUCUGCAGCUAGUGCUUCCCCAAAAAGAGUGGGCGAGUUCUUGAAACCUUGGGGAAGUCGUGUCCAGGUCAGCUGCAUCUGGCACCCUGUAACGGGCUCAGUCCAUUCAACGCCAAACAAGGGUUGACUUUGAGGAGCCAGGCGGAGGCAGAAGAAAGCAUCCUUUAGGUCGAGGCAUGGAAACCAUCUGGCUGACCCCGGAAUUUGGCUGAGGAGAGUAUACGGGUUUGGAACCACUGGGUGUAAGGAAACAGUCAUUUUGUUAAUGGCCCUCAAAUCCUGUACUGGUUGGUAUCCUCCUCCUGGCUUCUUGACUGACAAGAGCAGAGUAUUCCAAGCCAACUGGCACUCAAUUAGAGUACCUGCUUCCCUGAGCUUGGUCAGGUGCUCUUAUAUACCCAUUCUAGCCUUGAGUGGAAAAGGGUACUGCCUUUGUCUCUGAGGUUGGGCUCCAGGGAUCAGAUCAACAACGGUGGGGCCCCGACUGCAAGCUAGUCCAGGUGGGUUAUCUUCAGCCCAUACAGAGGGGAAUGUAAGCCUGAAUUCUGAGGGGCUACAGGGUAGGGUCUGUGUGCAGAAUAGUCUCCAUUCUUCUUCCCUUGGCAGGGUAAUCGCCAAGACCUGGGGUUUCCUCCUGCCCUGGGUUUAAUUGGAGACUAGUGUGUCCAGUGGGUUCAAAAGUUAUCUGGGCCCCAAGUUUGGAGAGCAGAUCCCGGCCCAGGAGAGGAACUGGGCAGUCAGGUAAGUAGAGGGACUCAUGCUGGACCUCAUGACCCCCAAGUUCACAUUGUCGAGCUUGACAGAAGAGCUGCUGCAUCACCCGUGUCCCAGUAGCCCCAAGUACGGUUGCCGUCUUUUGGCUGAAGGGCGUCACCGGGGAAGUAACAAUAGAGUAUUCAGCCCCAGUGUCAACCAUGAAAGUUCUUGUUCGGCCCCGUACCUUCAUUUCGACCAUGGGCUCAUGGGGGCCAAGAGAGAAAGAGCGCAGUCCCCCUCAGUCUGAUUCUACCCCGGCCAGACCAACGAGGUUCUUGCCUCGAGGUUCCUCCCAAUAUCGGCUGGGUUUUGAGGGCCCCUUCCAAUUCAGACAUGCAUUCUUCCAGUGUCCCUUCUCUUUGCAGUAUGCACAUUGGUCCCUUGCUAAGGUGGCUGGGGUCUUCCCGUCUUCGCAGCGUCUGUUUCUUUUAGUGCUGUUGCGAGAAGGGUGGCCUUCUUCUUUAGUCCUCUCCACUUCUCUUUCGGCUGCGACUCCUCUGUUCAUGAAAACCUUAUUGGCGACCUCUAUCAGCUGAGUGAUAUUCAUUCUGGCAAAGCCCUCCAACUUCUGGAGUUUUCUUCUGAUAUCUGGGGCAGCCUGUGCCACAAAAGAGGCAUUUACCAUCUGUUGACUUUCUGGUGCCUCGGGGUCAAACAGGGCAUAUACAUGGUAUGCUUCACAUAAUCUUUCAUGGUAGUCUCUGGGAGACUCCCCAGGGUGCUGCGUGACUGAUGAUAUUUUAGUCAUGUUCAUAGGCCUUUUGGCUCUGGCUCAGAUUCCCCGAAGGAGGGCUUCCUGGUAUCGUCGGAUAUGGGCUCGUCCUUCUUCUGUGGUGAAAUCCCACGUUGGGCGUUCUUCAGGCACGGCGGCUUGAGCCCAGACAGCAGAGUCAUUAAUCCCCGGAGGGACAAACUCAGGAUCACAGGGAAUCAAUAACAGUGCCCAAGCUUCCUGCCUCCUUGCAACAGCCCCCACUGCUUGGAACCAAAGAAGCAAAAAUCUCCCCGACUCGAAUAAGAAGAUGACGAGGGCUGAGGACAGGUUCACGUCUCCGUCUCAGUCCUCCCCGACCAGGGGGACACCAUAUGGGGCAGUGACAACCUGCAACGUCUGUUUUCUUGACAAUUCAAUCAAGGUGACGCUGAGCACAAGCACAUCCGAGAAAGCUAAGUGAGGAAGAAAAGAUCGAGCUGGGGACAGCGGUGAGCCUGGUGGGGACUUUGGGAUGGGGCAGAGAGAGAGGUCCUCUCCUUACACGGGGUCUCGGGCCCAUGCCCCCGCCCUUCACAGUCUGCCUCCAACAGCUGUGCCAGCCAGGUGGCUAGGCAGAUGCAGGCAUGCUGUGUCCAGAACCGCCCCAUGCAGCCUUCCUUCCGUGCACUCCCUUCACGGCUGUGCCGCUCAGCCUCUCUUAAAAUGGUUCAAAAUCCAAAACAUAAGAAGUCUUUCCUAUGCAUACACAGACAACCACGUGAAUGUGUGUGUGUAUGUGUGAGCAUGUGCGCGUGCGUGUGUAUUUUUCCCAAAUGCUGUCUUUAGUCCUAUCAUUCCCCACCUCCUAUGACUGAACGAGGUGCUCUCCAAGCCCUGGGUCUACCUGCAGUAGACCUCUUCCAGGGUAGAAAGGAUGGAGACUUUUUAAUCUUUGGGAGAUUCCUCCUGUCAGAGAUCCUGUCAGCCUCCAGUCCUGUAAGAAUCCUGACCUGUCAGCCACCAUGAGCCCCAUUCCAGCCUUGAGGCCAGCAAGGGCGUCCACGGCUGCCGCUGUGGUGUGGGGAGGCUUUGUCCUGUGUUCCUCUGUUACCACUGAGAUUGCCCGUUGGGACUGGAGCUACCCUGGAGCAGCUUGCCUGUGUAUUCUGGGAAUGUGUUAAUGGUUCCUGGAUCAGAAUAGAGCUCAAAAUGCAACUCUUGGUUCUUCUGUAAUUGCUGUGUGCUCUCGGAUUGCCUUUGGCAAGCUUAUGCCCUUGGUAGGUCUCCUGGACUUCAUGGUGUCCUACCACAUGCCAAUCACCGCUAAGAGAAAGACAAGGGGCAUCUGGGUGGCUCAGUUGGUUAAGCGUGUGACUUCGGCUCAGGUCACAAUCUCACUGCUUGUCAGUUUGAGCCUCAAGUCCGGCUCUGUGCUGACAGCUCAGAGCCUGGAGCCUGCUUCAGAUUCUGUCUCCUCCCCUCUCUGCCUCUCCCCUGCUCAUGCUCUGUCUCUCUCUCUCAAAUAUAAAAUAAGAAAACAUUAAAAAAUUUUUCAAAUAAAAAAAAAAAAAGAGAAAGAUAAGAUCAGCAGAUCAAGAGGCCAGAUUGGGCAGCUGACCAAGUGAGUAGGCAGGCUGGGUCCUUGCUCCUCUCCUGAUUUACCCCAUUGUCUAUUCUGAGCUGGUCCCUAGAAGGGACUUCUGUGUCCCUCUAAGUGUCAGAACUACCCUCAGAAUUUGGGGUCUAUCAUAAUGGGAGGGGUUUGAGCUGGGUGCGAUUUGUUUGGGAUGACAUGGGAGGGGAUGCUGCUUGUGCACUGUCGAACAUUUGGCUGAAGCUCGCUCCUGUGCGGGGCCUGAGAAAGUCCUUCUGUGGGGCUUGUGUCCAUCGCACGGUCAAUAAAGCAUCCUUGCAUUUUGCAAA